UACAGAGGUCCCAAGCGUUGUUCGGAUUUACUGGGCGUAAAGGGUGCGUAGGUGGCAGGGUAAGUUCGGUGUGAAAGCUUCGAGCUCAACUCGGAAACGGCAUUGAAAACUAUCCUGCUUGAGGGUCGGAGGGGAGACUGGAAUUCUCGGUGUAGCAGUGAAAUGCGUAGAUAUCGAGAGGAACACCAGUGGCGAAGGCGGGUCUCUGGACGACUCCUGACACUGAGGCACGAAAGCUAGGGGAGCAAACAGG
RNAcentral lists this ribosomal RNA (253 nucleotides) under uncultured bacterium. RNAcentral's name for it is "partial 16S ribosomal RNA". It matches the Rfam family "Bacterial small subunit ribosomal RNA", at positions 524 to 776 of the family's 1533-position model. The record is from RNAcentral.